AGUGAACGCUGGCGGCAGGCCUAACACAUGCAAGUCGAACGGCAGCACAGUAAGAGCUUGCUCUUACGGGUGGCGAGUGGCGGACGGGUGAGGAAUACAUCGGAAUCUACUUUUUCGUGGGGGAUAACGGAGGGAAACAUACGCUAAUACCGCAUACGACCUACGGGUGGAAGCAGGAGAGCUUCAGACCUUGCGCGAUUGAAUGAGCCGAUGUCGGAUUAGCUAGUUGGUGGGGUAAAGGCCCACCAAGGCGACGAUCCGUAGCUGGUCUGAGAGGAUGAUCAGCCACACUGGAACUGAGACACGGUCCAGACUCCUACGGGAGGCAGCAGUGGGGAAUAUUGGACAAUGGGCGCAAGCCUGAUCCAGCCAUACCGCGUGGGUGAAGAAGGCCUUCGGGUUGUAAAGCCCUUUUGUUGGGAAAGAAAAGCUGCGGGUUAAUACCCCGCUGUUCUGACGGUACCCAAAGAAUAAGCACCGGCUAACUUCGUG
Molecule: ribosomal RNA, 492 nt
Filed under: uncultured bacterium
Lineage: Bacteria
Description: partial 16S ribosomal RNA
Rfam family: Bacterial small subunit ribosomal RNA
Source: RNAcentral